Molecule: ribosomal RNA, 497 nt
Filed under: uncultured bacterium
Lineage: Bacteria
Description: partial 16S ribosomal RNA
Rfam family: Bacterial small subunit ribosomal RNA
Source: RNAcentral
GAUGAACGCUGGCGGCGUGCCUAAUACAUGCCAGUCGAGCGAACAGACGAGGAGCUUGCUCCUCUGACGUUAGCGGCGGACGGGUGAGUAACACGUGGAUAACCUACCUAUAAGACUGGGAUAACUUCGGGAAACCGGAGCUAAUACCGGAUAAUAUAUUGAACCGCAUGGUUCAAUAGUGAAAGACGGUUUUGCUGUCACUUAUAGAUGGAUCCGCGCCGCAUUAGCUAGUUGGUAAGGUAACGGCUUACCAAGGCAACGAUGCGUAGCCGACCUGAGAGGGUGGUCCGCCACCCCGGAACUGAGACACGGUCCAGACUCCUAAGGGAAGCAAGAGUAGGGAAUCCUCCGGCAUUGGGGAAAGCCUGACGGAGCAACGGCGCGGGAGUGAUGAAGGUCUUCGGAUCGGAAAACUCUUUUAUUAGGGAAGAACAAAUGUGUAAGUAACUAUGCACGUCUUGACGGUACCUAAUCAGAAAGCCACGGCUAACUACGUG